RNAcentral lists this ribosomal RNA (382 nucleotides) under uncultured bacterium. RNAcentral's name for it is "bacterial SSU rRNA". It matches the Rfam family "Bacterial small subunit ribosomal RNA", at positions 364 to 762 of the family's 1533-position model. The record is from RNAcentral.
UUACACAAUGGGGGAAACCCUGAUGUAGCAACGCCGCGUGGAGGAUGACGGAUCUAGGUCUGUAAACUCCUCUUAUAAGGGAAGAAAUUUGACGGUACCUUAUGAAUAAGCACCGGCUAACUCCGUGCCAGCAGCCGCGGUAAUACGGGGGGUGCAAGCGUUCCCCGGAAUCACUGGGCGUAAAGGGAGCGUAGGCGUUUUAGUAAGUCUUGAGUGAAAGCUCGCAGCUCAACUGCGGAACUGCUCAGGAAACUGAUAGGAUGGAGUAUGGAAGAAGUAGGUGGAAUUUCCGGUGUAGGGGUAAAAUCCGGAGAUAUCGGAAGGAAUACCAGCAGCGAAGGCGACCUACUGGGACAUUACUGACGCUGAGGCUCGAAAGCGU